RNAcentral lists this non-coding RNA (1967 nucleotides) under Rhynchocyon petersi (black and rufous elephant shrew). Its description in RNAcentral is "partial contains 12S ribosomal RNA, tRNA-Val (trnV), and 16S ribosomal RNA". The stretch from base 1714 to 1871 matches the Rfam family "Bacterial large subunit ribosomal RNA", at positions 1795 to 2009 of the family's 2925-position model. Lineage: Eukaryota; Metazoa; Chordata; Mammalia; Macroscelidea; Macroscelididae. The record is from RNAcentral.
CAUGCAAGUAUCUGCGUUCCGGUGAGUUGCCCUCUAAAUCACUUUUGGUAUCAAGGGAAAGCAUCAAGCACACAACAAUGCAGCUCAUAACGCUUAGCCUAGCCACACCCCCACGGGAAACAGCAGUGAUUAACCUUUAGCAAUAAACGAAAGUUUAACUAAGCUAUACUAACCCCAGGGUUGGUCAAUUUCGUGCCAGCCACCGCGGUCACACGAUUAACCCAAAUCAAUAGAACCCGGCGUAAAGUGUGGUUAAGAUCACCCCCUCCCAAUAAAGCUAAAACUCACCUGAGUUGUAAAAAACUCAAGUUGACACAAAAUACACUACGAAAGUGGCUUUAACAUAUCAGAACACACAAUAGCUAAAACCCAAACGGGGAUUAAAUACCCCACUAUGCUUAGCCCUAAACCUCAACAGUUAAAUCAACAAAACUGCUCGCCAGAACACUACGAGCCACAGCUUAAAACUCAAAGGACCUGGCGGUGCUUCAUAUCCCUCUAGAGGAGCCUGUUCUGUAAUCGAUAAACCCCGAUCAACCUCACCACCUCUUGCUAAUCCAGUCUAUAUACCGCCAUCUUCAGCAAACCCUUUAAAGGAUCAUAGUAAGCUUAAUUAUACUUAAUAAAAACGUUAGGUCAAGGUGUAACUUAUAUGAUGGAAACUAAUGGGCUACAUUCCCUUUUAAAGAGCAUUAACGAACACCCUUAUGAAAUAAUGGUUGAAGGAGGAUCUAGUAGUAAGCCAAGAAUAGAGAGCUUGGCUGAAUCAGGCCAUGAAGCACGCACACACCGCCCGUCACCCUCCUCAAAUGUUAUCUGAACAUAAAUAUAUUAGAGGAGACAAGUCGUAACAAGGUAAGCAUACUGGAAAGUGUGCUUGGAUUAUCAAAGUGUAGCUUAAAACAAAGCAUCUGGCCUACACCCAGAAGAUCUCACCUUUGAACCUAGCCAAAACUUAUAGAAUUAAUCCCAAAUAAACUAAAACAUUUAUACUAUAAAGUAUAGGAGAUAGAAAUAUGACUUAGGAUAGAAGUACCGCAAGGGAACGAUGAAAGAUAGUAGUAAAUAGCAAAGCUUAAACCUUGUACCUUUUGCAUCAUGGAUUAACUAGAAACCAUUUGACAAAGAGCUAGCAAAACCCCGAAACCAGACGAGCUACUAGAACAAUAAUAGAAUAAACUCGUCUAUGUAGCAAAAUAGUGAGAAGAUUUGUGAGUAGAGGUGAAAAGCCAACGAGCCUGGAGAUAGCUGGUUGUCCAAAAAAAGAAUUAGUUCCCUAAACCCUUAAAGGACUACCUAACCUUAUUUCGUAAAUUUAGAGCUAAUCAAUAAAGGGACAUCUCUAUUGAUUAAGGUUACAACCUUAAUUAGAGAGUAAGUAAGCACAUAAACAUAGUAGGCCUAAAAGCAGCCACCAAUUAAGAAAGCGUUAAAGCUCAACACUAACUAAAAAUCCCAAUUCAACAUAUAACUGAACUCCUCACACCCAAUUGGACCAAUCUAUCACCCUAUAGAAGAACUAAUGUUAGUAUAAGUAACAUGAAAACAUUCUCCUCCGCAUAAGCCUGCGUCAGAUUAAAACACUGAACUGACAAUUAACAGCCCAAUAUCUACAAUCAACCAACAAGUCAUUAUUACCCUCACUGUCAACCCAACACAGGCAUGCUCAUAAGGAAAGGUUAAAAAAAGUAAAAGGAACUCGGCAAAUCUUACCCCGCCUGUUUACCAAAAACAUCACCUCUAGCAUUACUAGUAUUAGAGGCCUGCCUGCCCAGUGACAUUAGUUUUAACGGCCGCGGUACUCUGACCGUGCAAAGGUAGCAUAAUCAUUUGUUCCUUAAAUAAGGACCUGUAUGAAUGGCUUCACGAGGAUUCAACUGUCUCUUACUUUCAACCAGUGAAAUUGACCUCCCCGUGAAGAGGCGGGGAUAACACUAUAAGACGAGAAGACCCUAUGGAGCUUUAAU